This 497-nucleotide ribosomal RNA is filed under the name uncultured bacterium. RNAcentral describes it as "partial 16S ribosomal RNA". It matches the Rfam family "Bacterial small subunit ribosomal RNA", at positions 28 to 507 of the family's 1533-position model. The record is from RNAcentral.
GACGAACGCUGGCGGCGUGCCUAAUACAUGCAAGUUGAGCGCUGAAGGUUGGUACUUGUACCAACUGGAUGAGCAGCGAACGGGUGAGUAACGCGUGGGGAAUCUGCCUUUGAGCGGGGGACAACAUUUGGAAACGAAUGCUAAUACCGCAUAAAAACUUUAAACACAAGUUUUAAGUUUGAAAGAUGCAAUUGCAUCACUCAAAGAUGAUCCCGCGUUGUAUUAGCUAGUUGGUGAGGUAAAGGCUCACCAAGGCGAUGAUACAUAGCCGACCUGAGAGGGUGAUCGGCCACAUUGGGACUGGGACACGGCCCAAACUACUACGGGAGGCAGCAGUAGGGAAUCUUCGGCAAUGGACGAAAGUCUGACCGAGCAACGCCGCGUGAGUGAAGAAGGGUUUCGGAUCGUAAAACUCUGUUGGUAGAGAAGAACGUUGGUGAGAGUGGAAAGCUCAUCAAGUGACGGUAACUACCCAGAAAGGGACGGCUAACUACGUG